CCUCAUUAGCUCAAGCGUGGUCUGGGGGCAGGACACCGAGCCUGCUAGGACUCUCACUGUUCUCAUUCUGGUUCUUUACACUGUUCUCAUUCUCAUUCUUUACCUCACAGGCUGUGCCAGUGACAGUGAUGCAAACCACCUGCUGAGAGAUCCUUGUAGUAUCAAGAAGCAGGCCUGGAGAAGGACAGGCAACCCUUCGUAAUUGCUCCAUCAGCCAAGAAACUUUUAUGGAGUACAUACAUCAUGCCAACUAUGUG
Molecule: long non-coding RNA, 257 nt
Filed under: Cavia porcellus (domestic guinea pig)
Lineage: Eukaryota; Metazoa; Chordata; Mammalia; Rodentia; Caviidae
Description: lncRNA (ENSCPOG00000038443.1)
Source: RNAcentral